UGAUGCCAGGGUCAAAAGGUCUAAGCCCACAUGAGCUUGCUCAUAGGUGGAUGAAAGACCUUAGGACCCGCCUCGAUAUGAGCAUAAAAGUGGGGCGUAAGCACCAUGAUAUGCGAAUAGCGGGUAGGAUUGUGGGAGUGCGUAGCAUGAAACAAUCCGUAGGCAUCA
The sequence is a small RNA, 168 nucleotides long. It matches the Rfam family "Clostridiales-1 RNA". The record is from Rfam.